This 487-nucleotide long non-coding RNA is filed under the name Vigna radiata. Its description in RNAcentral is "long non-coding RNA (VRAD_LNC005532)". The record is from RNAcentral. Lineage: Eukaryota; Viridiplantae; Streptophyta; Magnoliopsida; Fabales; Fabaceae.
CUGAUGUUUUAUUUUAUUUUUUUUCUGUGAUGUAAACUAUGAUUGAAUGAAUUGGCAUUCCAGGAGAGACACUUGAAGAGAUUUCGUAUUUUCUUAUGUCAACAUAUUCACAAAUAGAGAAAGAACAGAUGAUUUGUCCCGAACAUGAUUCUUACAAACAAAUAUUCUUCAAAGUUUUUUAUAAACUUUUGACUAACCCAGUAAACACUUUUUUCAGCAAAAUGUGGUAGUUCUAGAUCCUGGUUAAAAUUCUAGGAUAUGAACAGGGAUCUAAUUUACAAAGAGUAGGAUCAUUAGAUUUAGAUGGUACACACUUUAUCCUCUUCCAGAUUCAAUGUCAUUCAGUGUUGCAUUACGAUCCNGUGAUAAAGAUAGCCCCAUAUACCCAUGGCAACCUUCUUGACCCUUCUGACUCUCAGCCUGAACCUCUGUUAACUGUGCAUGACCAGAAUUUGGAACAUUAGGAACUUGGGUCAUUUGUCGUGAU